GCUACUUCCUGUGAGCAGCCCAGGGAUGGCCAGUCACUUGUGACCUACUUUCAGAGCUGGCAGUUCUGACUUCUAGAACAAACUCGGAACAAGCCCAUCUACAGCUGGUUGACUGAGUUUCCUUUGGGCUCCUGGCACCAGAAAGAAUUGCUCACUGGAAGGAUCAUAGGUGGCACUCAUGUCUCACUGCCCCACUCAGGCGGAGUGCGGUGACGCUCGCCUAUAAUCCCAGAAUUUUGAGAGGCCAAGGUGGGCAGCUCACUUGAGCUCGGGAAUUCGAGACCAGCCUGGGCAACAUGGCAAAACCCCAUCUCUACAAAAAAUACAAAAAUUAGCCAGGCAUGGUGGUGUGCACCUGUAGUCCCAGAUACCUGGAGGCUGAGGUGGAAGGAUCAUUUGAGCCUGGGAGGCAGAGGUUGCAGUGAGCCAAGAUCGCAUCACUGCACUCCAGCCUGAGUGACAGUGAGACUCU
RNAcentral lists this long non-coding RNA (472 nucleotides) under Pan troglodytes (chimpanzee). RNAcentral describes it as "long non-coding RNA NONPTRT011739". The record is from RNAcentral. Lineage: Eukaryota; Metazoa; Chordata; Mammalia; Primates; Hominidae.